AGAGGAAGAGGCGGGCUUUUCCGACCCCCACGCCCCUGGGAUGGUAAAGCUGCAGCCCACCUCGUCCUGGGGCAGAGUCUCCUUGCCUGCCUGCUUGCAUCUCUCACCAGCGUCCUAUCCUAACACCUCUGUUUCGUGCCCAUCACUUUGUCUCUCGCUGAAUUCCUUCUGCGUGGAGACAUAGAGAACCUCAACCUCAGUGAGUCCAGACGCAGGGGCUGCACCAGGUUAGGGUUCAAAUUAGAGCUGUAGCCACUGGCCUACGCCAAGGCCACAGCAACAUGGGAUCCGAACCGCGUCAGAAACCUACAGCACAGCUCAUGGUGAUGCUGGAUCCUCAACCCACUGAGCGAGGCCAGGUUUCGAAUCUGCAUCCUCGUGGAUACUACUCGGGUUUGCUAACCGCUGAGCCAUGACAGGAACUCCACCAGCUCCUGUUUUUGAGCAAAAGGAGAGCGUUUCCCAGACUCCUUGCCCCUGAGUGAGGAUACGUGCCUGGUUCUGGCCAAGGGGCUGUGGCUGAUACAGCAGGUGUCACUCUGAGUCAAAGCAAAGGAUGUGCAGACAUGAAGUCUCCACGCUCUCUCUUCUUCACCCCUUGUCUCAAGGUGUCAGAGGCACCAGGUGCUUCAUAAUCCUGGCAAAGCCACUAAGCUGAGCAGAGCUGCAGAAAUUCCCUGGCUUUCCUACUGGAAGAUGUCGAUCAAUGAGGGCGCUCGCGGCCUUUGAUGUCAGGCAUCCACGCCCGCUUCUGUAAAGACUUUCGGCUCCACAAGAGAACGGGAAGUCACUGUGAAGAAAGAGGCAGGCGAUGUAACCGGAAAAGCGCAGGUUUGAUGUCAAACAGACCUGCGUGGUUCCACCGCUUUCCGACUGUGUGACACCUCCCCCCCCCCACCACCGGUCCAGUUGCUCUCUGAACCCAAGUCUUGGAAAAUGGAACCAAUAAUACCUGUUCUUCAAGACUGUUCCUGCUGGAAGCUCCAAGAUUCAUCUGAAGGCGUGAUCACAUCCUCAAUGUUGAGUGGACUAUGAACCGGCUGCCAGAGACAGGGUUCCAAGCCGGGCCAGGCCCAUCCCAAUGCCCACCCGAAAAGACGGGACAGAGGAAAGAAAGAAACAAAAUCCUGGGGCUCCAUUGGCUUUCUUUUUGACUCCAGCUGAAGUUGCUGCAUAGUGUGGCCUUGCCAGUCCUCGCCUUGAAAAGUAGGUCUUGCGAAGUGAAACUGCGUGGCACAAAACAUGCCUUAGAGAGGCGGGGUAAACCUUUGUCUCCAAGAGUCAGGAGUUAGCAAAGGCAGAUGCACGGGAAAAAUUCCCGCCCAGGAGCUGCUGGGUGUCCCUCCUGGCAGUUUUCCUGGUGGGCCAGUGGUUGAGGUGGAGGAGGGGCAGCCCGGGAGGUCCCUGCAGAAAACAGGGAGGGAUCACUGAACAAGAAAGAAGUAAAAUAAAACAAAGAUCUAAAAAGCUCAGGAUCCGCCCACGCAGGGGACAGGGUCCCAGCAGCAUACUUAGCGCAGGCCAGGCCCCUCUGGAAAGUUGGCUGAACCUUGCCCUCUGGGCACAAGGAAAAGCAGCUCUCCUGCCAGGACCGCUGUAUAAACAUCCUUUUCCUACAGGAUCUCGUGGCUUGGGGUUCCAGUGGAGGGCAGGGAAGGUGUCCUAAUGCAGACAGAUUUCAAACUCCCGCUGUCCCUUUUCAGAUCAUAAAUUACUGUUAAUUUUGUUUACACCCCAGCCCCCUUCCUCUCUUAAUAGUUAGAGAAAGAGCAAUCACGACAAAAUCAAGGCUCCAAGGGGUAUAUGGCAGCCCCGCUCCGCUGGCUGAGAAGCAGCCAAGUGUUGCCUCAUCCUGCACUUCCCUGCAACAAAAGUUAAAUAUUUAUGUACCACAGGUGCCUCGCCUUGCCUCCUGCAAUAUCCUUUUGUAGUUUUGCUGUCAGGGAGCAGUGCGAGAGCUUCCAUUUCUGUUUAACUGGAAAGGGAAACUUGGUUUGUUUGUUCCCUUUCUCUCCCUCCUCCAACUCCAGGAGGCUCCAUGAGCCAGGCUGGGAGGCCUGGGGUGGAGGCUGCUGAGAAGUCGACCCAGGAUCUGUGUGGUUUCUCCUUGUUCAGGCAUCACCUUGUUUUGUAGUAAGCACUUCCCGGGGCCCUUUGCCCAAGCCAUCCUUGCCUGAGAGGUAUGCCCGAGCUUGAAGUUGGUUGGGUCUGGGUUUCAAUUCUAGGUCAACCCACUUAUUUAGCUGGUGACUCGCUCUCUUAGAGUCUCAGUUCUCAUCUUUAAAAUGGGGAUAAUAAUAAUAUUUUCCUAAGAGAGUGGUUGGGAAGAUGAAAAAUAGUGUAUAAAAAGUGACUGAGGCCACGUGAGAUUUUGGUAAAUGCCAGGUCUUCUAAAACAUUUUUGUUGAAAUGUAGUCAAUUUACAAAAUUAUGUUUGUGUUGGGUAUACAGCAAGGUGUUUAUAUAUAUGUGUGUGUGUGUGUAUAUAUAUAUAUAUAUACACACACACUUUUUAGUGUCAGGUAUACAGCAAAGUUAUAUAUAUAUAUGUGUGUGUGUGUGUAUAUAUACACUUUUUAAGAUUCUUUUCCAUUAUAAAUUAUUAUAAGAUGUUGAGUACAAUGCCCUGUGCUGUACUGUAGGUUUUUGUUGGUUAUCUAUUUUACAUGUAGUAGUAUGUAUAUGUUAAUCACAAAUUCCUAAUUUAUCCUCUCCAGGCCCUCUCUCCCCUUCAGUAACCAUAAGUUUGUUUUCUAUGUCUGUGAGUCUAUUUAUGUUUUGUAAAUAACUUCAUUUGUAUCCUUUUCUUAGAUUGCACAUAUAAGUGCUAUCAUAUGGUAUUUGUCUUUCUCUUUCCGGCUUACUUUCACUUAGUAUGAUGAUCUCUAGGUCCUUCCAUGUUGCUGCAAAUGGCACUGUUCCAUUCCUUUUUAUGGCUGAGUAAUAUUCCACUGUGUAUAUGCACCACAUCUUCUUUAUCCAUUCAUCUGUCAGUGGACACUUAGGCUGCUUCCAUAUCUUGGCUGUUGUGAAUAGUGCUGCUAUGAUCAUCGGGGUGUAAAUGCCAGUUCUUGCUUCUUUCUUGAUUGUGUUUCCAAGAUAGUAGCCAUCACCCACAUGUGGCUAUUGAGCACUGGAGAAGAGCUGGAAGUUAAAAUACACAAAGGAUUUCAAAGACCUAACAAAGAAAAAAAA
This 3195-nucleotide long non-coding RNA is filed under the name Sus scrofa (pig). RNAcentral describes it as "lncRNA (ENSSSCG00055030380.1)". The record is from RNAcentral. Lineage: Eukaryota; Metazoa; Chordata; Mammalia; Artiodactyla; Suidae.